This 775-nucleotide ribosomal RNA is filed under the name uncultured Neocallimastigales. RNAcentral describes it as "partial large subunit ribosomal RNA". It matches the Rfam family "Eukaryotic large subunit ribosomal RNA", at positions 23 to 633 of the family's 3401-position model. Lineage: Eukaryota; Fungi; Neocallimastigomycota; Neocallimastigomycetes; Neocallimastigales. The record is from RNAcentral.
AGAGAGAGACAUGCGCGCAUAUCAAUAAGCGGAGGAAAAGAAACUAACUAGGAUUCCCUCAGUAACGGCGAGUGAAGCGGGAAGAGCUCAAAUUUGAAAUCUUCAAGGUUCUACCUUGACGAAUUGUAGUUUAAAGAAGUGUUUUCUGUUGGAGUUUUGGUAAAAGUUCUUUGGAAUAGGACAUCAUAGAGGGUGAGAAUCCCGUAUUUGACCGUUACUUUCAGCUGUGUGAUACACUUUCAAAGAGUCGGAUUGUUUGGGAAUGCAGUCCAAAAUGGGUGGUAAAUUUCAUCUAAAGCUAAAUAUUGGCGAGAGACCGAUAGCGAACAAGUACCGUGAGGGAAAGAUGAAAAGAACUUUGAAAAGAGAGUUAAACAGUACGUGAAAUUGUCAAAAGGGAAGCGUUUGACACCAGUGUUGUUUUCUCGAAAAUCUAUUAAAAAUGGCCAGGAUUUUGUGUUGUAUUGACCUUAUAAGCUUUCUGCACUCUUUUCUUGUCUUUUUUAAUGCACUUUUCGUUUAACAAGUCAACAUCAAUUUCUUUUGUUGUAAAAGGGUCAUUGGAAGGUGGCUUUCUUUUCGGAGAAAGUGUUUAUAGCCUUUGAUCUCUGCAAUCGGAGAGAUUGAGGUCUGCAGCGUAGAUCCUUCGGGGUUAGAUGCAUUUGUGCUAAGUUAUAGCCUUUCAUAGACAACUUGUUGACUAUGAUCAGUCAUGUAGCUUACUCGCUUGUGCUAUUUUACCUACGCUUAGGAUGUUGACAGCAGUAUAGACUGU